RNAcentral lists this ribosomal RNA (448 nucleotides) under uncultured bacterium. Its description in RNAcentral is "bacterial SSU rRNA". It matches the Rfam family "Bacterial small subunit ribosomal RNA", at positions 355 to 825 of the family's 1533-position model. The record is from RNAcentral.
UGGGGAAUAUUGGACAAUGGGCGCAAGCCUGAUCCAGCCAUGCCGCGUGGAUGAUGAAGGCCCUAGGGUUGUAAAGUCCUUUCGGCGGGGAAGAUAAUGACGGUACCCGCAGAAGAAGCCCCGGCUAACUUCGUGCCAGCAGCCGCGGUAAUACGAAGGGGGCUAGCGUUGCUCGGAAUCACUGGGCGUAAAGCGCACGUAGGCGGAUUCUUAAGUCGGUGGUGAAAUCCUGGAGCUCAACUCCAGAACUGCCUCCGAUACUGAGAGUCUUCGAGUCCGGGAGAGGUGAGUGGAACUGCGAGUGUAGAGGUGAAAUUCGUAGAUAUUCGCAAGAACACCAGUGGCGAAGGCGGCUCACUGGCCCGGUACUGACGCUGAGGUGCGAAAGCGUGGGGAGCAAACAGGAUUAGAUACCCCUGUAGUCCCUGAGCGGGCUGGCAAGGCGCAU